UGCAGAUGGCAGUUAAAAACGUAUGUUGCCAUGGGCACUGCGGAAAACCCCAAACCAAAUAUGGCUACUUGAUUUAGAGUUGGGAUAUGAGAUUUUUCAGGGAAAUCUCAUGGUUCAGUGAUAGGCUAUGCCUGGGUGAUGAACCUAGUCCCGAGGAAUCAAUAAGAGAGGUGACUGAGGAAGUGACACUUUGACUGAACCUUAAAAUGCAGAGGGAAAGAAAAAAGAACAGAGAUAGAGAGACAGAAAGACAAGGGGUUUCCUACCAGGUGCAAACUUUUUGCGGCAGAAUGAGGCUUGGAAAUUUUGAAGAACUGAAAGCCUGCGUCUUUGGUUAAGUGACGUGGAAAGAAGAUAGACAAUGGAAAUGAGAGGCUAUCGGUUUAUUCUGUGCUAAGAAAAAUAAUGUUUGAUCAAGAAAGACCUCUUUAGAAAUCUCUGAUAGGAGCAGAUGACCCAGAUGUCUGAGUUCUACAUCAAGAACAACUUCAAGACUACUGGCUGAAAUGAUCAAGACUUGCAGGAUACUCCAGUCAUGACUUGAUCAUAAUUAUAAAUUUUCUUUAGGUCCCCAUAAGAUUAUCUGCAUCCCAAUUCUGCAGGAACUAGUCUAGGAAACUAUGACCAGAUUCCAAAAAAAUGGACUAUGGAUAUUUUUCUUUGUUUAAAAUGUUGGUUACAUGUUGUUAUGGAUAAUGGUUAGGAAAAAAGCUAAACAAAGGAUAUUA
Long non-coding RNA from Arvicola amphibius (Eurasian water vole), 728 nucleotides. RefSeq lists it as uncharacterized. Lineage: Eukaryota; Metazoa; Chordata; Mammalia; Rodentia; Cricetidae. The transcript is spliced from 2 exons. The record is from RefSeq and is a predicted model, not a curated record.